UAGGGAAUCCCUCGGCAAUGGACGGAAGUCUGACCGAGCAACGCCGCGUGAGUGAAGAAGGUUUUCGGAUCGUAAAGCUCUGUUGUAAGAGAAGAACGAGUGUGAGAGUGGAAAGUUCACACUGUGACGGUAUCUUACCAGAAAGGGACGGCUAACUACGUGCCAGCAGCCGCGGUAAUACGUAGGUCCCGAGCGUUGUCCGGAUUUAUUGGGCGUAAAGCGAGCGCAGGCGGUUAGAUAAGUCUGAAGUUAAAGGCUGUGGCUUAACCAUAGUAGGCUUUGGAAACUGUUUAACUUGAGUGCAAGAGGGGAGAGUGGAAUUCCAUGUGUAGCGGUGAAAUGCGUAGAUAUAUGGAGGAACACCGGUGGCGAAAGCGGCUCUCUGGCUUGUAACUGACGCUGAGGCUCGAAAGCGUGGGGAGCAAACAGGAUUAGAUACCCUGGUAGUCCACGCCGUAAACGAUGAGUGCUAGGUGUUAGACCCUUUCCGGGGUUUAGUGCCGUAGCUAACGCAUUAAGCACUCCGCCUGGGGAGUACGACCGCAAGGUUG
Molecule: ribosomal RNA, 551 nt
Filed under: uncultured bacterium
Lineage: Bacteria
Description: bacterial SSU rRNA
Rfam family: Bacterial small subunit ribosomal RNA
Source: RNAcentral